GCGGUAGGGCUGCUUAGCAGGUACUGUGAUAUAGUAAUUGUAAAGUUAUAUUUUCGUCGGU
RNAcentral lists this transfer RNA (61 nucleotides) under Explanatum explanatum. RNAcentral describes it as "tRNA-Ile". Lineage: Eukaryota; Metazoa; Platyhelminthes; Trematoda; Plagiorchiida; Paramphistomidae. The record is from RNAcentral.